UGCAGGAUUUGGCAGAAGGCCGGAGCCAUAUAAGUAAUGGUCAACUCAACACAUCUUGCUAUACACUAUUAAAAACAUGCUCAACAUGACACCUCUAAACACUGAACUUAUCUCCUGCCGUUUGAACAAAACGAUCUGCAGGGCCCUGGCUGGCUGCUCAGACUGACAGAGGUAACAAAACCAUCAUUUCCGUUAUUGCACCU
This 203-nucleotide long non-coding RNA is filed under the name Dromaius novaehollandiae (emu). Its description in RNAcentral is "lncRNA (ENSDNVG00000013872.1)". The record is from RNAcentral. Lineage: Eukaryota; Metazoa; Chordata; Aves; Casuariiformes; Dromaiidae.